CCCUUCACCCUCUUGCAUGUGGCUACGACUGAUGUAAAUGAUGGCCCAGGGACUAAAGGGGCAACCUGGAGAGAAGGGAGCACCCGGAGAAGCUGGCAUGUCCAUCAUUGGUCCCCGUGGCCCUCCAGGACAGCCUGGAACAAGAGGUUUUCCAGGGUUUCCGGGUCCAAUUGGUUUAGAUGGCAAACCAGUAAGUAAAGUUUCCCUCCCCUCCUUGUCCUUCCUCUUCCUUUUG
This 235-nucleotide long non-coding RNA is filed under the name Salvator merianae (Argentine black and white tegu). RNAcentral's name for it is "lncRNA (ENSSMRG00000008980.1)". Lineage: Eukaryota; Metazoa; Chordata; Lepidosauria; Squamata; Teiidae. The record is from RNAcentral.